AACGAACGCUGGCGGCAUGCCUAACACAUGCAAGUCGAACGCCCCGCAAGGGGAGUGGCGAACGGGUGAGUAACGCGUGGGAACCUGCCCAGCAGUUGGGGAUAACCGCGGGAAACUGCGGCUAAUACCGAAUACGUCCUAAGGGAGAAAGAUUUAUCGCUGUUGGAGGGGCCCGCGUCGGAUUAGCUAGUUGGUGAGGUAACGGCUCACCAAGGCAUCGAUCCGUAGCUGGUCUGAGAGGAUGAUCAGCCACACUGGGACUUAGACACGGCCCAGACUCCUACGGGAGGCAGCAGUGGGGAAUCUUGCGCAAUGGGCGAAAGCCUGACGCAGCGACGCCGCGUGAGGGAUGACGGCC
This 358-nucleotide ribosomal RNA is filed under the name uncultured bacterium. RNAcentral's name for it is "bacterial SSU rRNA". It matches the Rfam family "Bacterial small subunit ribosomal RNA", at positions 29 to 416 of the family's 1533-position model. The record is from RNAcentral.